CUUGGUCAUUUAGAGGAAGUAAAAGUCGUAACAAGGUUUCCGUAGGUGAACCUGCGGAAGGAUCAUUACAGUGUUCGCUGCCCCCACGGGUAGCAAACCUCACCCUUGUGUAUUAUAUCUUUGUUGCUUUGGCACGCCGCCUUCGGGUACCGGCUUCGGCUGGCUCGUGCGUGUCAAAGGACCUUAAACUCUGAAUGUUAGUGUCGUCUGAGUACUAUCUAAUAGUUAAAACUUUCAACAACGGAUCUCUUGGUUCUGGCAUCGAUGAAGAACGCAGCGAAAUGCGAUAAGUAAUGUGAAUUGCAGAAUUCAGUGAAUCAUCGAAUCUUUGAACGCACAUUGCGCCCGGUGGUAUUCCGCCGGGCAUGCCUGUUCGAGCGUCAUUUAAACCAAUCCAGCCUCGUGCUUGGGUCUUGGGCCUUUCGCCUCUGGGCGGGCCUCAAAAUCAGUGGCGGUGCCGUCUGGCUCUAAGCGUAGUAAUUCUUCUCGCUACAGGGUCCUGGUGGAGGCUUGCCAACAACCCCAAAUAUUUCAAAGGUUGACCUCGGAUCAGGUAGGAAUACCCGCUGAACUUAAGCAUAUCAAUAAGCGGAGGA
Molecule: ribosomal RNA, 596 nt
Filed under: uncultured Helotiaceae
Lineage: Eukaryota; Fungi; Ascomycota; Leotiomycetes; Helotiales; Helotiaceae
Description: eukaryotic LSU rRNA
Rfam family: 5.8S ribosomal RNA (bases 230-383)
Source: RNAcentral